Molecule: long non-coding RNA, 431 nt
Filed under: Brassica napus (rape)
Lineage: Eukaryota; Viridiplantae; Streptophyta; Magnoliopsida; Brassicales; Brassicaceae
Description: long non-coding RNA (BNAP_LNC002215)
Source: RNAcentral
AAACUCUAACCCUAAAUCCUAAAUCCUAAACCCUAAACCCAAAACACAACCCUAAAUUAAUCCCUAAACUCAUUACUUGAUCAUGGUUCGGGUUUAUGGUUUAGAGUUUUGGGUUUAGGGUUUAGAAUUUAAGGUUUAGAGUUUAGGGUUGAUGGUUUAGGGUGUAUGGUUUAGGGUUUUGGGUUUAGAAUUUAGAAUUUUAGGUUUAGAGUUUAGGGUUUAGGGUUUAUGGUUUUGGGUUUUGGGUUUAGAAUUUAGAAUUUUAGGUUUAGAGUUCAGGAUUUAGGGUUUAUGGUUUAGAGUUUUGGGUUUUAGGUUUAGAAAUUAGGGUUUAGAUUUUAAGAUUUAGAGUUUAGGAUUUGAGGUUUAGGGUUUAGAUAUUAGAUUUUUAGAAUUUCGGGUUUUGUAGACGGCGUUAACGUCGGUGUUUU